This 1351-nucleotide small RNA is filed under the name Arabidopsis thaliana (thale cress). RNAcentral describes it as "ATSL173510". Lineage: Eukaryota; Viridiplantae; Streptophyta; Magnoliopsida; Brassicales; Brassicaceae. The record is from RNAcentral.
AAACAAAAUACAUUAUUAAUUUCCAAAAAAGUAACCAAUUAAAAUCAACAAAUUAUAUUUGAUAUCUAAAUUAUCAUAUUAAUUUUUUAUUAAUUAUUAUAGUUCACUUUCCAUCUUUAUAUGAUUUUAUUUUUGCGGAAAAAUAAUAUCAUCAUUAUAAAAAAAGAAUUAUAGUUAUUUUGCAUAUGCCACAAUUUGAAUUUUUAAAAACGAAUAUAAACUGUUCAAUACAUGAAAAAAUAUUAUAACGGGUGAAAAAUAGAUUUAAGAAAACUUUCUACUGAGUAACGGGUCAUAAUUUGAAAUAUUUAUAUUCAAUUUCAUACAUAUUAUAUUAAAAAUUUAUAAUCUUAUAUAUUACAAUAAUUAAUAACAUAUUAGAUGUGAUUCAAUUUUUAAUAAAAGCUGGAAAGUCCUAGAAUCGACGGUUUAGAUCGAUAUUAAUACAAGAUGGAAUACUACAAGUGAAACUCUUAAAUUAACUAUCAAACUACAAGUGUAUAAUCUUAAACACUAAACAAUAUAGAUAAUAUCAACAAAACAUAUACAUGAAAUCAAUUAAAUCUUAAUCACAUAAAAAUUAGCACAAAAAAAGUAUUCAACAAUUAAAUUUUUAUCAAAUCUCUGUGUUAUAUAAGUUUUGAUACUAUAUUCGAAUAAUGUAAUAUACCUUUUCAAUUUGUAUUCUUUAACUAAUUUAAGCUAACUAAUAUAUUUGCUAAUCUUAUACCUAUCAAAACCGACUAUCGUUUCUUAUCUCUAUAGUAUUUUUGCAAGACUUUUUUGGUGGAUUUGGAUAAAAGUGUAUUCGGGUCAUAUGGUACAUUCUCCUAUUAAAUAAAUAUGGUGCACUCCGAUGUUAUUAGCUAAAAUGUUUAGAAUAUAAUUCAGAGUCAUAUCAUUAAUAAAAUUAAUAUUAAUAAAAUAAAUGACUUUUUGGCAAGACGAAUUUGGAGGGACGGGUUUUUGAAUCAACAUUAAUAAAAAAGUAAAAUAUAAUUAAUCCACCGUUUUAAUACGGGUUAAAUCUUUAAUUAAUUAUUUUUUAAGACCACUAAUAUUAAACAUAUCAAAUCAUCCUAAUUUAGAAAAGAUUAUAUAAAACCAAAAAUGUUAUGUGGUAUGUAUAAUGUUACUAUAUAUAAAAUUAAACAAUAAAAUAUAAAUGUAUUAGAGAAUGAUACAAUGUGCAAAACUUUUAUAUAUAAAAAAUAAUUCUUAAAAUUUAAAAAUUACUACUUUAAAAAAAAAAUCACGGGACGGGUAAAAAAUUUACAGAACGGGUUUUAUUUUGGAAUUGGGUUAUAUGGUGGAUGUAUUUGAAUCAAUAUUUAUAAAAUUUUAAAAUAUU